AGCAGUAGCCGCGGUAAUACGUAGGGUGCAAGCGUUAAUCGGAAUUACUGGGCGUAAAGCGUGCGCAGGCGGUUAUUCAAGACAGAUGUGAAAUCCCCGGGCUCAACCUGGGAACUGCAUUUGUGACUGGAUGACUAGAGUACGGCAGAGGGGGAUGGAAUUCCGCGUGUAGCAGUGAAAUGCGUAGAUAUGCGGAGGAACACCGAUGGCGAAGGCAAUCCCCUGGGCCUGUACUGACGCUCAUGCACGAAAGCGUGGGGAGCAAACAGGAUUAGAUACCCCGGUAGUCCCUGUCUCUUAUAC
This 303-nucleotide ribosomal RNA is filed under the name uncultured bacterium. RNAcentral describes it as "partial 16S ribosomal RNA". It matches the Rfam family "Bacterial small subunit ribosomal RNA", at positions 507 to 807 of the family's 1533-position model. The record is from RNAcentral.